This 467-nucleotide ribosomal RNA is filed under the name uncultured bacterium. Its description in RNAcentral is "partial 16S ribosomal RNA". It matches the Rfam family "Bacterial small subunit ribosomal RNA", at positions 28 to 507 of the family's 1533-position model. The record is from RNAcentral.
GACGAACGCUGGCGGCGUGCUUAACACAUGCAAGUCGAACGGAAAGGCCUCUUUCGGGGGGUACUCGAGUGGCGAACGGGUGAGUAACACGUGAGUAACCUGCCCUUGACUUUGGGAUAACUUCCGGAAACUGGGGCUAAUACCGGAUAGGCGCUCCUGCUGCAUGGUGGGGGUUGGAAAGUUUCGGCGGUUGGGGAUGGACUCGCGGCUUAUCAGCUUGUUGGUGGGGUAGUGGCUUACCAAGGCUUUGACGGGUAGCCGGCCUGAGAGGGUGACCGGCCACAUUGGGACUGGGAUACGGCCCAGACUCCUACGGGAGGCAGCAGUGGGGAAUAUUGCACAAUGGGUGGAAGCCUGAUGCAGCAACGCCGUGGGCGGGAUGACGGCCUUCGGGUUGUAAACCGCUUUCGCUCAUGACGAAGCUUUGUGUGACGGUAGUGGGUAAAGAAGCACCGGCUAACUACGUG